CAGCCGCCGCGGGAAUACGUAGGUCCCGAGCGUUGUCCGGAUUUAUUGGGCGUAAAGCGAGCGCAGGCGGUUAGAUAAGUCUGAAGUUAAAGGCUGUGGCUUAACCAUAGUACGCUUUGGAAACCGUUUAACUUGAGUGCAAGAGGGGAGAGUGGAAUUCCAUGUGUAGCGGUGAAAUGCGUAGAUAUAUGGAGGAACACCGGUGGCGAAAGCGGCCCUCUGGCUUGUAACUGACGCUGAGGCUCGAAAGCGUGGGGAGCAAACAGGAUUAGAUACCCGCGUAGUCCCUGUCUCUUAUACA
This 301-nucleotide ribosomal RNA is filed under the name uncultured bacterium. RNAcentral describes it as "partial 16S ribosomal RNA". It matches the Rfam family "Bacterial small subunit ribosomal RNA", at positions 509 to 808 of the family's 1533-position model. The record is from RNAcentral.